RNAcentral lists this ribosomal RNA (301 nucleotides) under uncultured bacterium. RNAcentral's name for it is "partial 16S ribosomal RNA". It matches the Rfam family "Bacterial small subunit ribosomal RNA", at positions 509 to 807 of the family's 1533-position model. The record is from RNAcentral.
CAGCAGCCGCGGGAAUACGAAGGGUGCAAGCGUUACUCGGAAUUACUGGGCGUAAAGCGUGCGUAGGUGGUGGUUUAAGUCCGUUGUGAAAGCCCUGGGCUCAACCUGGGAAUUGCAGUGGAUACUGGGUCACUAGAGUGUGGUAGAGGAUAGUGGAAUUUCCGGUGUAGCAGUGAAAUGCGUAGAGAUCGGAAGGAACAUCUGUGGCGAAGGCGACUAUCUGGGCCAACACUGACACUGAGGCACGAAAGCAUGGGGAGCAAACAGGAUUAGAUACCCCCGUAGUCCCUGUCUCUUAUAC